GACAGAGGUGCCAAGCGUUUAGGCGGAAUCACUGGGCUUAAAGCGCGUGUAGGUGGCGGCCUAAGUACCUUGUGAAAUCCUGCGGCUCAACCGCAGAACUGCUUGGGUAUACUGGGUCGCUUGAGCCAUCCAGGGGCAACUGGAACAAGCGGUGGAGCGGUGAAAUGCGUAGAUAUCGCUUGGAACGCCAAAGGUGAAAACAGGUUGGCUGGGGAUGUGCUGACACUGAGACGGCGAAAGCCAGGGGAGCGAACGGG
This 257-nucleotide ribosomal RNA is filed under the name uncultured bacterium. RNAcentral describes it as "partial 16S ribosomal RNA". It matches the Rfam family "Bacterial small subunit ribosomal RNA", at positions 524 to 776 of the family's 1533-position model. The record is from RNAcentral.